RNAcentral lists this ribosomal RNA (253 nucleotides) under uncultured bacterium. Its description in RNAcentral is "partial 16S ribosomal RNA". It matches the Rfam family "Bacterial small subunit ribosomal RNA", at positions 524 to 776 of the family's 1533-position model. The record is from RNAcentral.
UACGUAGGUGACCAGCGUUGUCCGGAUUUACUGGGCGUAAAGAGCGCGCAGGCGGUCGUUCAAGUCGAGUGUGAAAGCCCCCGGCUCAACUGGGGAGGGUCAUUCGAUACUGAUCGACUCGAAGGCAGGAGAGGGAAGCGGAAUUCCCGGUGUAGUGGUGAAAUGCGCAGAUAUCAGGAGGAACACCGGUGGCGAAGGCGGUUCUCUGGGCAGUAACUGACGCUGAGGAGCGAAAGCGUGGGGAGCGAACAGG